CCUUGGCGAAAACGAACGGAGCACUAUUCCGAGAUUAAUGUGUGUUUCUGGCGAGCUUUGGGUAUGCAUUAAUUCUCCCGUUUAAUCACCCUGGCAAUUACGCAACAACCGACGAACCGUACGUCUCGCGUGGCCCGCGAAAUUCUGCGUAGUCAUUGCAGUAGCUGAGCCUGUCUGCUAGCGAACGGCGCUACCCACGAUUAAUAGCUUUGUCGUUGAAAAACAAAAAACUUUGUUUAUACUUUGACGUGAACGUGUAAACGGAUAAAGAAUUUUUAACGAAGAACGUUAAAAGCGCACAGAGAAACAAAGAGAACUGAAACGCCAGAUCGUAGCGAGUCCAAACGAAUUUCCGCAUCACCAGAGACAAUGUUCAAAAAUUGAUUGUACGCGCUUGUCACUCGACCUCGACAGAAACAAUAUUUAAAAAUGCAGAAUCCAGUGUUUAAAAGCUUAAUAAAUAUCCAACGCACGUUGGCUGUCAUCGUUUGUAAGUAAACAAAAUCCUGAUCGCCAUCUUGCGAACGUUCCUUUCCGGUGUUUGCGCAUCUUGCGGCGGGCGAACAAAGUAGACGGAAAGCAGAUCCUGCGACGGUCACACGAGAGUUGAAGUUACUUCGCAGUAUUUAUUAACCUCGUUAGACGGUAAAAAAGAAUUUAUACGAGUCGUCCGGGUAUCGUUGCGAAACACUUUCCCAUGUAACGACCCCCGACCACCUAUUCACCUGCUCUACUUAUCCCCACUGUGCGCACGCCGCUCUGAAUAUUAUUUUCACAGUAUUUCACGAGCUUGCGGUGCACCUGAAAAACAGACCUGAUAAAAUGUAAAUAACGAACGAGUGGAAUAAAGCGUAGUAAGCAAAUACUGCACCGCGCAACCGUGGACUCGAUUAAGUGGAUAUUCUGGUUCGGAGCGUUAAAAACGAUGAAAGUUAAUCAACCCGAGAGUGUACGUACGUUACGAUACGAUUUACUAAAAAUUGAUACGUAAAAAAAUGUGAGUAUCCAUUUCAAGCGAACAGU
Molecule: long non-coding RNA, 1023 nt
Organism: Hylaeus anthracinus
Lineage: Eukaryota; Metazoa; Arthropoda; Insecta; Hymenoptera; Colletidae
Exons: 4
Source: RefSeq, a predicted model, not a curated record